UACGUAGGUGGCAAGCGUUGUCCGGAUUUAUUGGGUUUAAAGGGUGCGUAGGCGGACUGUCAGGUCAGCGGUAAAAUUGAGAGGCUCAACCUCUUCCCGCCGUUGAAACUGGUGGUCUUGAGUGGAUGAGAAGUACGCGGAAUGCGUGGUGUAGCGGUGAAAUGCAUAGAUAUCACGCAGAACUCCGAUUGCGAAGGCAGCGUACCGGCAUCCAACUGACGCUGAGGCACGAAAGCGUGGGGAUCAAACAGG
RNAcentral lists this ribosomal RNA (252 nucleotides) under uncultured bacterium. RNAcentral describes it as "partial 16S ribosomal RNA". It matches the Rfam family "Bacterial small subunit ribosomal RNA", at positions 524 to 776 of the family's 1533-position model. The record is from RNAcentral.